Centruroides sculpturatus (bark scorpion) is the source of this 356-nucleotide long non-coding RNA. RefSeq lists it as uncharacterized. The transcript has 3 exons. NCBI's taxonomy places the organism in Eukaryota, Metazoa, Arthropoda, Arachnida, Scorpiones, Buthidae. The record is from RefSeq and is a predicted model, not a curated record.
CUUUAUGGGAAAUUCAUCGAAAUCGACAAAUUGUGUUCUGCUGAUUUACCAUUAGAAACCAAAAUGAAGAUGCUGAACUUUAUGAAAAGAUAUGGUAAAACUCCAUUUGGAAUAAGCAUCGGCGGAUUCUUUUAUGUUAAGAAAAACUUCUUCAUUCGAUUUCUGAGUGCCAUAUAUUCAUCGCUGUCUGUGUUGACGGAACUUUUAAUUGCAAAGAAACCAUCUACAUGUAAAGUUGAGAUUAGAGAUUUGAUUCAAUAAAGCCACUUAAUCAACAUGCCUGACAGGCUGACUUUGAAUAACAGCGCAGACUUAUUACAAGGAAAUGAGGUAUUUUUGUGUUGGAAAAAGGAAGU